AUGCUCACUCCCUUCACAUCUGUAGGGGAAUCAUUACCAAUGGUUACCACGGCAGUUUUGACCAGGCAGGUCACGCUCGCACCUGGACAAGAAGUUGGUGACUUGGACCGAGGAUUCGACCCGUCGCCUGAGGUGCAAGUCUCAGACCAACAGGGGGGGAGGGGGGAUGGAAGAGAGGCCGACUCUGUGAGAGUUGGAGGUAUCGAUGGACCGGACAAACACUCCUCAUCCUCUGUGCCUGCAAGAAGUAAACCUCUGGUUAGCAGGACCCUGGCGUUAAACGGCACCAGGCCCAACAACGCAGAAAGGCUCACAUUGUCCAGGAAGCCAAACGUCCCAGGACCGUUCCGAUUCAACGCAUCCAGAGUUGUGCCUGGGGGGAGAAAAACUGGCACUGGCCCCUUGAAAAAGCCCUUAAUGGGGAGGAAACAGAACGCCCCGAUAGUGCCCAAAAAACCUAAACCAGGUGCCCCCAAAAAAGGAAACAGGACAAUAGAUUUGACUGUGAAAGUACCUAACACUGAAGCUUCAAUCGCUGAGAGGAGGGACGACAAAAGUCCGCCUGCUCUAACGUCUGGAACUGAUUCAGAAACACACAGACAGAAAAGCUCGGAGGAACCAAAAAGGCAACCAGAUGUUAGGGUGGCGGGCCAAGGAAACGACACUGCUCCAGUGUCUUCAGAGCCAACUGGGACUGUCCAACGCCCGGAGAAGAAAUGUCUGAACAAACUCAAAGUGACUCACAGCAGAUUACCCCAUAAGGACAGAGGCGGCGGAUGCGAAGGGGAGGGGACAGAUCGAUCCCCUCCUGAUCUGAACCCCUCGUCUGCAGAGACGGAACUCGACUAUUCACCAGAUCCUCUUCACAAACUCCUGACGGAAACUUUUGACAGUUUGAAUAUCACAACAUUUUCUGUUCACCUGUCCAAACCAUCAAACCUCUCUGUUGAUGCAAACGCAGUGAGGAAGCAGAUCUUAAGAGGACUGAAGCCGCUGACAUCAUUUUCGUCAUCCUCUUCAUCAUCCUCAUCGACCUCAAGAUCAUCACAUCCAACAGCCUCAUCAUCAUCAUCAUCAUCAGUUUCAUCCUUAUUGACUUCAGCAUCAGCUCCUCAAGUUUCAUCCUCAUCAACAGCAGCGAAAUCAUCAUCGUCACUACUAACAUUUUUAUUAUCGUCAUCACCACCAUCACUUACACAUUCAUCAUCACCACCAUCACUUACACAUUCAUCAUCAUCACUAUCACUUACACCUUCAUCAUCAUCACCAUUGUCUUCCAGCUUAAAUAAAUCUGAUUCAUUUGGAAGCGAUGAACUGGAUGUUGAUAAAAGCAAAAACGCAGCUGACACUGCAUCACCAGAAGAAACAACGCAAUCGCCCUCAGGAAAAUUUGGCAUCCGCGUUUUCCACCACACGCAUCCAAAACGUGGUUUCAUACGUCGUCCACGGCCAAACUUAGGUUUGUUUCAGAACAAGACCCGUCUAAAUUUGAGAGGUCCUCAACGCUCCCCAUCUCAUUUAAACAUUAUCCCUACAAAAGAGACAGAGACCAGACAUUCAUCCCCAGAUGAAUCACCGCCUUCAUCUGAUUUGGAGGAAGUUAAGAUAAACACACCAGUCAGGGAUGCGAGUAGAGACGAGGAUGGGGCAGCUAAGCCUGCAUCCUCUGGACAAGACCAGAAACCGAUGCAGACAGAAAGAGGACGAACUCCAGUUCGCCAUCCUCCUCCAAAAGGUGGAUAUGUGCGUCGCCCUUUUCCAAACAUGGGAUUUCUUCAGAACAAAACUCCUCCUAAUUCAAGGCUCUUGACUCGCCCCGCUCGACCUUUAAAUCCUGACAUAGAAACACAGAAAGAGCAGAUAUCCCAAACUGAAUCACCAGCCACUCCAUCUCCUCUUGUUUCCAAAGAAUCCUAUCCCGCUGAAGGUAGAGAGCCAAAAGGAGACAGAGCUGGGAUGAGGAUCUCCACAAUAAGGAUGUCCAAUGGUUUGAAUCAGACUCUCAGAGAGCCUUUCUCCCAUCGCCCAAUGCCCAGAGUUCCUUAUUACCAUCGCCCCCAGGUGUAUGGUGGACCUCUCCAAAACAAAACACGUCCAAACCUGAGACCACCUCAAUAUCCACGUAGAGGUCUCAUUCGCAAACCUUUCCCAAUUAGAAAGCUAAAUGGAGACACUGUUGGAAGUCAAACUAGCCAACGAGAAAUCAAGGGUACACCUGACACCCCGCAAAGCCAGUCAGGAGUGGAGGAUGUCCCCAGGCCUACCCGAGGAAUCGGAGCCCAAAUAAGACAAGAGGGAGAACUAGAAACUGCAGAAGUAAUUCCAAGUGCCCAGAUGGAAGGACAUGGAACUGCUGUCACACCACAAAUUAACAAAUUAGAAAUGGAAGAAAAUGCUCCAGUCCAAACCACAAAAUCUGGGGAAGAAGAAACCAUCACCCCUGUUUCUAAUAAUGACUUUGACAUUCACAGACAGAGAGUCGAUGCUCCUAAAAAUCCUGCCCCUGCGGUUCGCGGUAGACCAAAUACCCAACAAACUUCCUUUGAUUCAAGAGCCUCAAGACCAGCCACAAUUCCAAAACGACAACCACCCUCAAGAAAUAUAACAGGACAACAUGGCACCCAGAUGGGACACUUCAGCGGUGGGAGCCAAAGGGGAGAGGAUCCAAAAACAAAUCAUACUGUAAAACCGUUUUUUGACAGUAAAACUGGACAAACGAGAGGUGCUGCUUCCAAACCUUUGAUGGGAUCAGAUGUUUCUUCAUCCGGAGUCACAAGAGAACAGCUGGACUACGUUGGAGUGACGAACCGGACCUCGGAUGGUUUUACGCUCAUAUGGGACUCGCCGGAAGGAAAGUACAAAAACUUUGUUGUUACUAGGAAACAAGUUGGAAAGGAUGCGAGACCAAAGCAACAAGAAAACCCGAAAAACCAAGAAAGACGCCGGGACGACUCUGAGAGAGAGGAUGGACAUGAAGAGCAGGAUGGGAAGCAUCGACCAACUGAGGAACCUGAAUCGGAAGCCGGGAGCACUGAAAGUGUGGUUACACAUAUUCCGAUGAAGCACAGCAGCACAACAGUGAAACCGUCAACAGGAGGCGUUAAAACCUUCAAAGAAGUUCUUCCUGGUUCAGCUCGCUCCCUCCACUUUGAGGAUCUGCCUCCUCGGACCGAGUACACCGUGACCUUGCUUGGAAAAGGUCCUGGCCUCCUGUCGAGACUCCACAAGCUUGUCAUCAGUACAGGUACAAGCCAUUGUGGCAGUAGAACACAAACUACUACUGUACAAUGCAACAACAUUACUGUUAUGUUGUGA
Molecule: long non-coding RNA, 3315 nt
Filed under: Scophthalmus maximus (turbot)
Lineage: Eukaryota; Metazoa; Chordata; Actinopteri; Pleuronectiformes; Scophthalmidae
Description: lncRNA (ENSSMAG00000025985.1)
Source: RNAcentral